GCCCCUGUGGUGGAAUGGAAUACACAUUGGUCUUAAACACCAACGCCCUUGAGGAUUGCAGGUUCAACUCCUGUCGGGGGUA
RNAcentral lists this transfer RNA (82 nucleotides) under Crassvirales sp. Its description in RNAcentral is "tRNA-Leu". It matches the Rfam family "tRNA". From Rfam's summary of the family: Transfer RNA (tRNA) molecules are approximately 80 nucleotides in length. Their secondary structure includes four short double-helical elements and three loops (D, anti-codon, and T loops). The record is from RNAcentral. Lineage: Duplodnaviria; Heunggongvirae; Uroviricota; Caudoviricetes; Crassvirales.